GGACGAACGCUGGCGGCGUGCCUAAUACAUGCAAGUCGAACGAGCUCUCCCAAAUUGAUUUUAUGCUUGCGUAAAUGAUUUUUGGAUUCGGAGCGAGUGGCGAACUGGUGAGUAACACGUGGGUAACCUGCCCUGAAGCGGGGGAUAACAUUUGGAAACAAGUGCUAAUACCGCAUAAUUAGUUGGAACCGCAUGGUUCCAACUUGAAAGAUGGCUCUGCUAUCACUUUGGGAUGGACCCGCGCCGUAUUAGUUAGUUGGUGAGAUAAAAGCCCACCAAGACGAUGAUACGUAGCCGACCUGAGAGGGUAAUCGGCCACAUUGGGACUGAGACACGGCCCAGACUCCUACGGGAGGCAGCAGUAGGGAAUCUUCCACAAUGGACGAAAGUCUGAUGGAGCAACGCCGCGUGAGUGAUGAAGGUUUUCGGAUCGUAAAACUCUGUUGUUAAAGAAGAACAAGUGUUAGAGUAACUGUUAACACUUUGACGGUAUUUAACCAGAAAGCCACGGCUAACUACGUGCCAGCAGCCGCGGUAAUACGUAGGUGGCAAGCGUUGUCCGGAUUUAUUGGGCGUAAAGCGAGCGCAGGCGGUUUUGUAAGUCUGCUGUGAAAGCCCUCAGCUCAACUGAGGAAGUGCAGUGGAAACUACAAAGCUUGAGUACAGAAGAGGAAAGUGGAACUCCAUGUGUAGCGGUGAAAUGCGUAGAUAUAUGGGAAGAACACCAGUGGCGAAGGCGGCUUUCUGGUCUGUUACUGACGCUGAGGCUCGAAAGCAUGGGUAGCGAACAGGAUUAGAUACCCUGGUAGUCCAUGCCGUAAACGAUGAAUACUAGGUGUUGGAGGGUUUCCGCCCUUCAGUGCCGCAGCUAACGCAUUAAGUAUUCCGCCUGGGGAGUACGACCGCAAGGUUGAAACUCAAAGGAAUUGACGGGGGCCCGCACAAGUGGUGGAGCAUGUGGUUUAAUUCGAUGCUACGCGAAGAACCUUACCAGCUCUUGACAUCUUCUGCCAACCCAAGAGAUUGGGCGUUCCCUUCGGGGACAGAAUGACAGGUGGUGCAUGGUUGUCGUCAGCUCGUGUCGUGAGAUGUUGGGUUAAGUCCCGCAACGAGCGCAACCCUUAUUAUUAGUUGCCAGCAUUUAGUUGGGCACUCUAGUGAGACUGCCGGUGAUAAACCGGAGGAAGGUGGGGACGACGUCAAAUCAUCAUGCCCCUUAUGAGCUGGGCUACACACGUGCUACAAUGGAUGGUACAACGAGUCGCGAAACCGCGAGGUCAAGCUAAUCUCUUAAAGCCAUUCUCAGUUCGGAUUGCAGGCUGCAACUCGCCUGCAUGAAGUUGGAAUCACUAGUAAUCGUGGAUCAGCAUGCCACGGUGAAUACGUUCCCGGGCCUUGU
RNAcentral lists this ribosomal RNA (1399 nucleotides) under uncultured Bacilli bacterium. Its description in RNAcentral is "bacterial SSU rRNA". It matches the Rfam family "Bacterial small subunit ribosomal RNA", at positions 27 to 1384 of the family's 1533-position model. The record is from RNAcentral. Lineage: Bacteria; Bacillati; Bacillota; Bacilli.